This 270-nucleotide ribosomal RNA is filed under the name uncultured Desulfotomaculum sp. RNAcentral describes it as "partial 16S ribosomal RNA". It matches the Rfam family "Bacterial small subunit ribosomal RNA", at positions 1113 to 1382 of the family's 1533-position model. The record is from RNAcentral. Lineage: Bacteria; Bacillati; Bacillota; Clostridia; Eubacteriales; Desulfotomaculaceae.
AGUUGCCAGCGGUUAAAGCCGGGCACUCUAGCUGAACUGCCGUUGACAAAACGGAGGAAGGUGGGGAUGACGUCAAAUCAUCAUGCCCUUUAUAUCCUGGGCUACACACGUGCUACAAUGGCCUGUACAGAGGGCAGCGAAGGGGCAACCUGGAGCGAAUCCCAAAAAGCAGGUCUCAGUUCGGAUUGCAGGCUGCAACUCGCCUGCAUGAAGUCGGAAUCGCUAGUAAUCGCAGGUCAGCAUACUGCGGUGAAUACGUUCCCGGGCCUU